AGGUCUCGCGGGAGGGCGCGGGUCUCGCGGGAGGACGCAGAAUCCCGCCCGCGCCCGCGCGCCUCGGGGGCGGCGGGGGUGGCGGCGGCCCGUCCCUUCUGCAGCCCUGCGCGAGGCCUCGGCGCUCCCCUCCUGCCCCGGAGUCCCGUGAUCCUGGAAGUCCUGCGGGGCCAUCCUGUGCUUGAAGAUAAACACAGCCCCCCACCCUCGGGGGUUUAAAAUGAAGGCAUUUCCUCACCUGUAAAGUGACUAGAAGAUUGCCCAGGUCCCUUCCAACAACUGCAGACUGUGUCAUCGGCUGGAUUUGGGCCCGAGCUGGACUGUGUGCAGCCCUCUCUCAGGAACACCUCUGUCUUUCCUGCCUUGAGCUUAGUUUCUGUCUAGAAAGUUGUAAGAGUUGAGACAAUGAGAGGAGGCUGAGGAGCUGUUUGCUCCCCUGAAUCAGGGGUUCGGAUCCAGUUGAGGGAUGCGGGGGUGGGGAGGAGAAGGUUCAGUCGAUGCCUAGACCUGACACAUUAACCCCUGGAUGAAUUAUUUUCACUUCUGUGAAAAAGGCUUUGGCUAUGGCUUCACGGAGAAGCCCGCCGCAUCGUAAAACCACCGGUGUCACGAGCUGUCUUCUGGAGAGUGGAAACGGGCAGGAUGUGGUUUGAACUGACAGAAAGAUGAGGCAGUGCGUUCCUCCUUGGGGAGCUUGGAGCGACCAUCAGGGGCAAGAACCAGAGGCUGCGACUUUCUGACUUGGAGCCAACAGUCAAUUCAGGAUCAGGGAAACCAGUUGCUUAGUGCCAAGGUGUUCAAAAAACAACAAGGAAACAUACACACACAACCACUACAGAAAACAAAUCAGCUAACAAUAUUUCUCAUUUUCACGAGUAAAACUUUGCAUCUCUAACAGCACCUUCUCUGGUGGCUCAAAUGGUAAAGAAUCCACCUGCAAUACAGGAGACGCAGGUUUGAUCCCUGGGUCGGGACGAUCCCCUGGAGGAGGAAAUGACAACCCACUCCAGUACUCCUGCCUGGAGCAACCCAUGGACAGAGGAGCCUGGUGGGGCUACAGUCCAUGUGGUCGCAAAGAGUCAGAUAUGACUGAGCAACUAACUCUUACCUGCUUACUUACGCAGCAGCUUACACACUUUAAGACACUUUCAAAUACGUGUAACGCUUGACGUAACCUACGGAGAAACACACAGUCGUGUUGAUAUUCCUAUUUUCUGGAUAAAAACAUUGAACAGGGCCUAGUUAUGAAAACGGAAGUUUCAAAGCAGACCAGGAAUCCAGGACUCUUGAUCCUCGAUCCAAACCUGGUGUCUGGUGCUUCUGAAUUCAUGUAAACAGAACCCCCCUUCAGAGAGAAAAGCAGAUUCCUAAGGUCGAGGCCCCCCGAGUUGUCAUUUGUUGUCUUGUCGCUAAGUUGCAUCCAACUCUUCAACCCCAUGGACUUUAGGCCUCCAGGCUCCUCUGUCC
Molecule: long non-coding RNA, 1467 nt
Organism: Bos taurus (domestic cattle)
Lineage: Eukaryota; Metazoa; Chordata; Mammalia; Artiodactyla; Bovidae
Source: Ensembl